This 2154-nucleotide long non-coding RNA is filed under the name Ananas comosus (pineapple). RNAcentral's name for it is "long non-coding RNA (ACOM_LNC007798)". Lineage: Eukaryota; Viridiplantae; Streptophyta; Magnoliopsida; Poales; Bromeliaceae. The record is from RNAcentral.
AUAAUAUAUUUAUUAUUAUUAUUAAACAUAUAAAUAUAUAGAUAUAAAAAUAUUAUUUUUAAUUAAUUUAAGUUUUUAAGAGUUGAACGUCUGUUUUGUAUUAUUUAACACAAUAUCAAAGCAGGAGAUCGUUAAGUUUAAAUUAUAUCAGACUCCUAGCUAGUAUAAUUUAUUUCCUCCUAUUUAAUUUAAAUUCACGUCAUAAUUUUCAAGCAUUACAAUAUUUUACUAGCUUAAGCUUUUAUUCAUGAAUCGUCUUCUAUUGAGUACUGGAGGCAAAAAUAAAAAAUCACAAAAUAUAAUUUAUUGGAGUUCCAUCAAUUAGAUCAUACUAUUCAACCGACCACCCACUCAAUCCCAGAGGGACCACUAUCAUCCUAACUGCAUAUUUAUUCAUCCAAAUGUUAACUUGGUGUGUGUGUGUGUGUGAGAGAGAGAGAGAGAGCUAGAAUACUCUCAAAAGCACUAAGGGGGUGGUGUGUGUAUAGUUGAGCUAGAAUAUUCUCAAAAGCACUAAUGCUUUUGAGUUUUUAACCAUUUGAUGGAGAGAUGUAGGGUUGAGAUUAUGGUGGUAGGUGGCGGUAGGUGGAAUAGUGUUUGAUCCAAAGGAUAUUAGUAAUUAAGGAGUAAAUCCAAGAGCUAGAAACUUAGAAGCCACAAGGGAAUGCGUGCUUUGAAAAAUUUCUAGCUCAAUUAUUAUAUAUAUAUAUUAUAUAUAUAUAUAUAUAUAUAUAUAUAUAUAUAUAUAGUUGAGUUGGAAUGCUAUCAGUAGCAAACGGGCUCUGUUGCCACCCAUUUGUUUUCGAUGAUGGAGUCAUCAAAUCGACAAUCGGCACCAUUGAACAUACAGCUCAACUAUAUAUAUAUAUAUAUAUAUAUAAUUAUGCUACUAUACUAUCAAUAGUACCAAGCCUUUGGUACUAUUGAGUUUCGGCCGUUGGAUGAAAGGAUGUGCAGUUAGGAUGAUAGUUGGUGAUAGGAAGCGAUUCUGUGAAAGUGAUCAUUAUCUAACGGGUGGAUAUGAUCAAAGAGUAGAUCUAACGGUAGAAAACUCAAUAGUACCAAAGGCUUGGUACUAUCAAUAGAAUAAUAGCCGGACUCUAUAUAUAUAUAGUGCUACUGUGCUAUUAAGAGCACAGGAGCUCUUGUGCUUCGGAGUUUCUAGCCAUCUGUCAAUUUUUAAUGGGUGGUUAGGGUGAGGAAAAAAAGUGAAAUUAGAAAGAAAUUCAAAGAGAAAAAAAAUUAAGAAAUCCAAUUUCUCAUCUCUUUCUCACCCUAACUAUCUAUCAAAAUUAAUAAAUAGUUAGAAUUUAGAAGUACACGGGAUGUUAUACUUCUCACAGUAGCUCUGCUCUACAUAUAUAUGUAGAGAGAGAGAGAGAGAGAGAGAAAAUAUGACUACUAUCGAUAGUACAGUACCUCUUGGUACCUAGAGGUAUAGUAACAUAUGUUGUACUUCUAGUACCUCUUUAAUUGUACUAUCGAUAGAAUUAUACUAUUCAAUCAACCACCAACUCAACUAUCCGGGGACCACUAUCAUCCUAACCGCACGUAUAGUCAUCUAAUGGCCGAAAAUUUAUGAGUACAAAGUGGUUUAUACUCAUAAGAGUAUAGUAACCCUAAUAUAUAUAUAUAUAUAUAUAUAUAUAUAUAGAGAGAGAGAGAGAGAGAGAGAGAGAGAGAGAGAGUCCAGCUAUUAUACUUUUAUGAAUACGAUCGUUUUCGAACUCAUAAGUUAUUUUUGAUAAUAGAGCUUUUGAAUUGAUGAUCCAUACCAGUAAACGUUAUUUAAAGCAUUUAAAACUUCUAUAAAUCAAAUUUAUAAUUUUUUGACAUUAUUUACCUUACGAUCAAAAGAUCUCACAAUUGACAAUUUUUAACGGUCGGUAUAGGAUGCUUGCUAGUUUAAUAGUAUAAAAGAAUCGAAAUCAGUUUAAUUUUUGAUAGAAAAUUUUAUUCACUAUCUAGACAAAGAUUAAUAACUUCGAUCUUAAAUUGAAAGAUCUGAUCAUCUAUUUUUAGGACGUCGUUCAAUUUUGACCGUUCAUUUUAUACUUGCUUGAUGGAUUUUAUUAUGAUUUCGAAUAAUUACGAAAUUUUUAUUAAAAAAUUUUAAAUAUUCUAGAUCAUAUUUAACGGAGUAAAUUGCCAAUU